This 253-nucleotide ribosomal RNA is filed under the name uncultured bacterium. RNAcentral's name for it is "partial 16S ribosomal RNA". It matches the Rfam family "Bacterial small subunit ribosomal RNA", at positions 524 to 776 of the family's 1533-position model. The record is from RNAcentral.
UACGUAGGGUCCGAGCGUUGUCCGGAAUUACUGGGCGUAAAGAGCUCGUAGGUGGUUUGUCGCGUUGUUCGUGAAAACUCACAGCUCAACUGUGGGCGUGCGGGCGAUACGGGCAGACUAGAGUACUGCAGGGGAGACUGGAAUUCCUGGUGUAGCGGUGGAAUGCGCAGAUAUCAGGAAGAACACCAAUGGCGAAAGCAGCUUUCUGGGACGGUACUGACGCUGAGGAGCGAAAGUGUGGGGAGCGAACAGG